UACGUAGGCAGCAAGCGUUGUUCGGAGUUACUGGGCGUAAAGAGUACGUAGGCGGUUUGCUAAGUCUGGUGUGAAAUCUCCUGGCUUAACUGGGAGGGUGCGCUAGAUACUGGCAGGCUUGAGUAUGGGAGAGGAGAGUGGAAUUCCUGGUGUAGCGGUGAAAUGCGUAGAUAUCAGGAGGAACGCCGGUGGUGUAGACGGCUCUCUGGACCAUAACUGACGCUGAGGUACGAAAGCGUGGGUAGCAAACAGG
RNAcentral lists this ribosomal RNA (253 nucleotides) under uncultured bacterium. RNAcentral describes it as "partial 16S ribosomal RNA". It matches the Rfam family "Bacterial small subunit ribosomal RNA", at positions 524 to 776 of the family's 1533-position model. The record is from RNAcentral.